AAAAUUAUAAAUAUUAUUAUCUCUUCCAAGGCAUGAAAGCCUAUAAAAUGUUACAGAGAAAAAGAAAGGAAAAAGAAAUGAAAAAGAAAGGAAAAAGGAAAGAAUAAUCAAGCUUCUGCGAUCCAAGGUGUUGCAUCCUGGUCUUCCACCAAAGCCCCAGAUGAAGCAACUUUGAAGGGGUUCAAUCCUUCAAUGUAGAUAUGAACG
RNAcentral lists this long non-coding RNA (207 nucleotides) under Lathyrus oleraceus (garden pea). Its description in RNAcentral is "Pisum sativum (pea) long non-coding RNA (PSAT_LNC014018)". The record is from RNAcentral. Lineage: Eukaryota; Viridiplantae; Streptophyta; Magnoliopsida; Fabales; Fabaceae.